UGUAAAGAUGUUGAACCUCACCCAGC
Molecule: non-coding RNA, 26 nt
Filed under: Rattus norvegicus (Norway rat)
Lineage: Eukaryota; Metazoa; Chordata; Mammalia; Rodentia; Muridae
Source: RNAcentral